This 1180-nucleotide ribosomal RNA is filed under the name uncultured bacterium. Its description in RNAcentral is "bacterial SSU rRNA". It matches the Rfam family "Bacterial small subunit ribosomal RNA", at positions 263 to 1482 of the family's 1533-position model. The record is from RNAcentral.
GAUCAGCAAGCAUACUUCUCUAGCUGGCUUGGAGGGAUGAUGGCCCCACUGUGUCUGAGGCUCGUUUCAGCGUCGAACGGGAGGCAGCAUGCGGAUAUGAGCUAUGGGCGCAUCCUCAUCCAGCACUGCAGUGUGAGUGAUGCAGCCGUCUGGUUGUUAAUCUUUUUUGCAGGGAUGAUAUGCCGUUACUGGUAGAUAAGGUCAGCUAACGCCGUACCAUCCCCCGCGGUAUUCGGAGAGAACCAGCGUUAUUCGGAAGAGGGGGGGGGCAAGCGCACGUGGUUGUGUUAUAUUUUGAGGUGAUAUCCUACACCUCAACUCUAGAAUGCCUUUAAGACCGCAUAGAUGAUUACAGGAGAGGAGAGUGGAAUCCGAGUGUAGAGGUGAAAUUCGUAGAUAUUCGGAAGAACAUCAGUGGCGAAGGCGGCUCCUUUUACAGGUAUUGACGCUGAGGUGGGAAAGCGUGGGGAGCAAACAGGAUUAGAUACCCUCGUAGUUCAUACCGUAAACGAUGAUAACUAGCCGUCGCGGCUCUUAGAGCUUCGGUGGCGCAUCUAAAGCAUUAAGUUAUCCUCCUGGGGAGUACGGCCGCAAGGUUAAAACUCAAAGGAAUUGAUGGGGGCCUGCACAAGCGGUGGAGCAUGUGGUUUAAUUCGAAGCAACGCGCAGAACCUUACCAGCGUUUGACACGUCCGGACGAUUUCCAGAGAUGGAUCUCUUCCUUUCGGGGAAUGGAACACAGGUGCUGCAUGGCUGUCGUCAGCUCGUGUCGUGAGAUGUUGGGUUAAGUCCCGCAACGAGCGCAACCCUCGUCCUUAGUUGCCAUCAUUUAGUUGGGCACUUUAAGGAAACCGCCGGUGAUAAGCCGGAGGAAGGUGGGGAUGACGUCAAGUCCUCAUGGCCCUUACGCGGUGGGCUACACACGUGCUACAAUGGCGGUGACAGUGGGCAGCAAUCUCGCAAGGGUGAGAUAAUCUCCAAAAGCCGUCUCAGUUCGGAUUGUUCUCUGCAACUCGAGAGCAUGAAGGCGGAAUCGCUAGUAAUCGCGGAUCAGCAUGCCGCGGUGAAUACGUUCCCAGGCCUUGUACACACCGCCCGUCACCCCAUGGGAGUUGGAUUCACCCGAAGGCAGUGCGCUAACCGCAAGGAGGCAGCUGCCCACGGUGGUUUAAGGGGGGGG